This is an RNA transcript of Ictidomys tridecemlineatus (thirteen-lined ground squirrel), 4466 nucleotides long. It is a transcript of the gene named family with sequence similarity 78 member B, with no coding region annotated. NCBI's taxonomy places the organism in Eukaryota, Metazoa, Chordata, Mammalia, Rodentia, Sciuridae. The record is from RefSeq and is a predicted model, not a curated record.
GCGCCGGCGCCGGGUGGCAGGAUGGGCUGUAUCCAAAGCAUCACCUGCAAGGCGCGGAUCCGGCGCGAGAACAUCGUGGUGUACGAUGUGUGCGCCACCAUCGACCAGUGCCCCACGCGCAUCGAGGAGACCUCGCCCAUCGUCCUGCGCUACAAGACCCCCUACUUCAAAGCCUCGGCCCGCGUGGUCAUGCCCCCCAUCCCCCGCCACGAGACCUGGGUGGUGGGCUGGAUCCAGGCGUGCAACCAGAUGGAGUUCUUCAACACCUACAGCGACCUGGGCAUGUCCAGCUGGGAGCUGCCCGACCUGAGGGAAGGGAGAGUCAAGGCCAUCAGCGACUCAGAUGGGGUGAGCUACCCCUGGUAUGGGAACACCACGGAAACCGUGACCCUGGUCGGCCCCACCAACAAGAUCUCCAGGUUCUCCGUCAGCAUGAAUGACAACUUCUACCCCAGUGUGACGUGGGCAGUGCCAGUGAGUGACAGCAAUGUGCCCCUGCUCACGAGAAUCAAGAGGGACCAAAGCUUCACCACCUGGCUGGUGGCCAUGAACGCCACCACCAAGGAGAAGAUCAUUCUGCAGACCAUCAAGUGGAGGAUGCGGGUGGACAUUGAGGUGGACCCUCUUCAGCUCUUGGGGCAGCGGGCGCGGCUGGUGGGCAGGACUCAGCAGGAGCAGCCCCGGAUCCUGAGCCGGAUGGAGCCCAUCCCCCCCAACGCACUAGUGAAGCCCAACGCCAACGACGCCCAGGUCCUCAUGUGGAGGCCCAAGCGGGGCCCACCCCUGGUCGUGAUCCCUCCCAAGUAGAGCAGACGGCCUGACUGUGGAGCACACACCGCGAGGCACUCUGCGAGGUUACCAGGGUGGCAGGAGCCACACUGGUCUCUGAGCCAAAGCAGACCUCUCAGCCGGCCGGCCAGCCCCCGCAGCCGUCGCGCAGAGCCCGCGCCCCUCGGCGGCAGGGUCCCUAGGAAACGCCCUUCCUCUUAGGAGUAAGUCGCUGGUUGACAGACUUGCCGUGACUGUCUCCACGCAGCCAUGGUUCGGCGCGGACCAGGAGGGUUCUCCGUUUGACUGUUGCCCAUUUCUGCCCUGCGAGACGCAGGGGACGGCAGUGGAACUAAGCAGUGCCUGUGGUGGCCAGGGCUGCUUCCCCACCAGCUGAAUGGAGUGCAAACAGCCGCACCAGUGUGGUGAGGCACGGCCCCGUGUCGAUGGAGGGGCUGGGGAAGCAGGUGUGAGAGGUGGCAGAGGAGCGGGUGGGGGAGAGGAUGUGCUUUGUCCAUUGACCUCGGCUUGGGACAGGCACUGGAAUGAAGGGGACGCUGGCCAGCCAGGAAUCCAGGCGCUCCGCACCAGAAGGGGGAGCUCCCGGGAACUGUCCAGGGUGCUGGCCCACUAAGCCGUGGAGAUGCCGCUUCCCCUCUCCAAGGCGGCGGAGCCCGGCCUCCUCCCCGCAGAAUGGACGUGCUGUCCCGCCUGCCGCAGCCCUGUGUUUGGGCCCUGCGUGUUUUCGGUGGAGCCCAAACUGAUUUUGUUUACAGCUGCUUAUUCUUCUCCCAUCACCAGCCCUAACUUUACAAAACAGAUUGAUAAGCCAUGAAGCCAUGGAGGGUUUCAACAUUUCAACAGGCAAGAACGGUGUUUUCAGGUCUCCUAGGGGGACAGGGCAAGCCCAGAAGCAGAGCCGCGUGGCAGAGCUGCGGAGGAGACGAGCAUGGCUGAUGUCCCAGGAGCUCAUGUCCCGGACAGCUGACCCCACAGAUGGCGCCCUCCUGCCUGCCUCCCUCACCCUCUGUCCUGCGACCGUACCUCCUGCCCAGCACGGGCCAGCGGGCCUGCUGGUGGGCUUGUGGGGAGCUACUUGGAGACGGGAACCGCGUCUGCUGUAUCUUUUUGUGUGGAAACACUGGGUUCAUCCAGACCACAGGGAAGCCCCCCGAGGACCACGAGCUGGUCAGCCCGGACCCCCAACACCUCACAUAGCCCAGCCCUGGCUCCCACACCCUGCCUCCCGCCCGCACACCUGGUCUCCCCUCCUCCUCCCUCCUCCACGCGGGUAGCUAGCAUCCACCACCUCUUGGAGAGCCAGGGCCAACAGUCAUUCCUCUUGCCGUGGCCAGGAUGGGUGCCUUCUGUGACCACGGGUACCCUGGUGUCACCACGUCAGUGGGGUGAGGAAGAACCACCCGAGGCCACGCCGUCAGAGUGUGUGCUUUUAUUUAUUGGUUUAUUUAUUGGCAUACAUGCUGACCUGUUUAUUUAUGCAAUAUGUAUGUAUGAUACCCAAGCUCCACUUCUGUCUUUGAAGCAUCAGCCCCAGAAUUUGUCUUGUAGGUCCCAAAUGACAGUGAAUUAUUCCUCUCAGAAGCCACAGAAAAGAGGAGACAUUCUCUCCCUCUGCCCACGUACCCCCACUCCAGCCAGAUUUCCCAACAGAAACACCAGCUAGCGAGGCUGUCGGACCCCACGACACAGAGGCUCCCCAUCUGGACAGCAGCCCCAGGGCCUUCCUGACCUGCCCUCCCCUUCGGCUCCUUCCUGACUCCGCGGGUCCUGGCUUUCCAGCUCCCACCCGGCCACCAGGAGCAUGGUGCUCGCGCUGCUCUGACGUAGCAUGUUAACUCCAGAUGCAUCCAUGCCUGCUCUCCACCCAAACCAGUCGCGGCAGGCUGUCCCCACAUGGUGGGCGGGCAGGUGUCCCUCGCUUACCAGGUGAUUCCGCUGUGAAAACAGGGCUGAGAAGUUCUUCCAGCUCUUCUCCCCUCGCCCCUCCCACCACUCAGGUCCCUGCCUCCCGUUUCCGGCUUCCUCUGGAGUCCCCUCCUGUCCCCCAGCCUAGCUCCCCACUGAACAUUCCCACCAGCCCAGCCGGCCUGAGCAGAUGCCUGGAGAGCUGGGCAGUGCCAGAGUCAUGCCCCGAGGCUGGCAGCGGCCCUGCCUGAGCCUGCUCCCGAGUUCAGCUUCUCUAGGAGCCAAAGCCUCUCCCUGCCUGGCCGCUCUCUCCUCCUGCACCUCCCCCAGUCUCCCAAACUCCAAAGGGUUAAAGGGCACAGUGUUGACAUCCCUGUCUCCAAGCCCCAAUCCUAACAGCAAGGCCCACGCCAGUCUCCGUAAGCAAAGCCGGGCCAUUUCCACAGAGCCACCUGAGUUGGCAGAGGGUCUAACUGAUACCAGGAAGGGUCGUGACACCCCAAGCCAGUCUUUCGCCCAACCACCUUGCAGUGGCCACCAUGCAUCCGAAUCCUAGAUGGCCGGGAAGAGACAUGGCCCUUCACAUGGGCGAGGCCUUGACUGCUGAGUGUGUGCACGUGUGCGUGUGAGUGUGCGUGUGCAUGUGUGCACACCCUGUCUGCACAUAAGACCUGGAUCUGCAGAGCUUCCGGAUUUUGACUUUAUGGUCAUAAGAAUCUGCACGAGACAGUUGGGGACUUCUGUCAUCUUUGACUCAACAGGGAUCUGCUGUCCUAUUUUCACGAGGGACCAGUGCAUUCCAUUUUAGGUACAUACCGAGGAUGCUGUAAUAGGCACAGACCCUCGGCCAACCCCACACCCAGAGCCUAGGGUGCCUGUGGUGUGGGGCGGUACCCAGGCUCAGUCUCCCACGGCAAGGACCCCGCUCCGCUGCCCAGCCGUCCCCUGCCUGCAUGGGCACCUCCAAGCCUUCUCUCCCCGCUCUAGCCUGUCCUGCCCCAAGUCCCGUCUCUCAGGGUCCUGCUCUCUGAUAGGUGACAUUCAGUCAGUGGGUGCUAAAGAGUCGAGAGUCACGCUUCACAGGUAGCAUCUGUCUUAACAGGGCUACGGUCAUGCCUUAAUCUGAAGGAGCGGCUGUCGCGGUGGGAACUUCAGGCCAGCCAUGGAGAUCAUUUCUUAUCAGAAGGGCGUUUCAGAGCCCUGAGUCACACCGGUCCUGAGACCAGCCCUCCACCUGCAGAAGCACACUCACCAAGCACAGUCCCUUCCUCUGAGAUGUCCCUGCACUGGCCCCAUCUCUAAAGUGGAAGAAAAAAGCCCAGAAUCAGGCUCAGUCAGUCUGAACCUCCUGGGAAGCAGCCUGUCCUGCACAGGCCUCAGCCAUCUGGCCCCCGCCCGCCCGGCGUCCUCCCGCCCUCCCCGCUGUGCUGCCCCUCGGUCCAGGCUCCUGUGAGUCCCUCUGCCUCUAGCCUCCAACGCUCCCUCCCCUCCCGGCCCCCUGCAGUUGCGCUGGUUCCCGGUGGCCGGGACAGACCCGCAGGUGAAGGGCGGGAGCGUGCGUCUCCCUUCGAAGGAGACCCCAGGUGUCCCGCCACAGUUAGGAGGGAACCCCAGGAGGAAGAGACAAAGCCGGCUCUGCAGAGUGCCUUAAAACGACUUCACUAGGGAUUCUGGGUCGUCGGUCUGGAUGUCGCAUCAACUCAAACAGACGUCGCAUUUCACUUCUCUGGGAUUAAAGACAAAAAGUUAAAUACAGUAUGUAUUCAACACAA